UAGGGAAUCUUCCGCAAUGGACGCAAGUCUGACGGAGCAACGCCGCGUGAGUGAAGAAGGAUUUCGGUUCGUAAAACUCUGUUGUUAGAGAAGAACAGCGCAUAGAGUAACUGUUAUGCGUGUGACGGUAUCUAACCAUAAAGCCACGGCUAACUACGUGCCAGCAGCCGCGGUAAUACGUAGGUGGCAAGCGUUGUCCGGAUUUAUUGGGCGUAAAGCGAGCGCAGGCGGUCAAUUAAGUCUGAUGUGAAAGCCCCCGGCUCAACCGGGGAGGGUCAUUGGAAACUGGUUGACUUGAGUGCAGAAGAGGAGAGUGGAAUUCCAUGUGUAACGGUGAAAUGCGUAGAUAUAUGGAGGAACACCAGUGGCGAAGGCGACUCUCUGGUCUGUAACUGACGCUGAGGCUCGAAAGCGUGGGUAGCAAACAGG
RNAcentral lists this ribosomal RNA (429 nucleotides) under Bacteroidota bacterium. Its description in RNAcentral is "Bacteroidetes bacterium partial 16S ribosomal RNA". It matches the Rfam family "Bacterial small subunit ribosomal RNA", at positions 355 to 776 of the family's 1533-position model. Lineage: Bacteria; Pseudomonadati; Bacteroidota. The record is from RNAcentral.